GAGUACUUAUUUAACUUACACACCAAGUACUGAUUUCCAUAAAUAGAGUACACAGAGUUUUGAAAUGAGUUCGAAAUUCAUAGCAGAUUACAAAUCAGAGUUAUGAAAUAAAACACAGCGGAAGUCUACACGAUUAAACGCCAAAACAGGUACAUGACGACCCGAGUAGCCUGGCCUCAUGUCAUCCACCCGAGUACUCCUCACACCGAGUUCGGGGACCACUCGACCGACCACCCC
RNAcentral lists this long non-coding RNA (237 nucleotides) under Setaria viridis. RNAcentral describes it as "long non-coding RNA (SVIR_LNC008246)". The record is from RNAcentral. Lineage: Eukaryota; Viridiplantae; Streptophyta; Magnoliopsida; Poales; Poaceae.